GCCGGGCACAGUGGCAUGUGCCUGUAGUCUCAGCUACUCCUGAGACUGAGGUGGAAGGAUUGAUUGAGCCCAGGAGUUCAGGGCUGCAGUGUGCUAUGCUGAUUGGGUGUCCACACUAAGUUCAGCAUCAAUAUGGUGACCUCUCGGGAGUGGGGGACCACCAGGUUGCCUAAGGAGGGGUGAACCGGCCCAGGUUGGAAUCGGAGCAGGUCAAAACUCCUAUGCUGAUCAGUAGCAGGAUCGCACCUGUGAAAGCCACUGCACUCCAGCCUGGGCAACAUAGCAAGACCCCAUCUCU
Molecule: signal recognition particle RNA, 298 nt
Filed under: Cebus imitator (Panamanian white-faced capuchin)
Lineage: Eukaryota; Metazoa; Chordata; Mammalia; Primates; Cebidae
Description: Metazoan signal recognition particle RNA (ENSCCAG00000004819.1)
Rfam family: Metazoan signal recognition particle RNA
About the family: The signal recognition particle (SRP) is a universally conserved ribonucleoprotein. It is involved in the co-translational targeting of proteins to membranes. The eukaryotic SRP consists of a 300-nucleotide 7S RNA and six proteins: SRPs 72, 68, 54, 19, 14, and 9.
Source: RNAcentral